AUUGAACGCUGGCGGCAGGCCUAACACAUGCAAGUCGAGCGGAAGAAGGGAGCUUGCUCCUGGAUUCAGCGGCGGACGGGUGCGUAAUGCCUAGGAAUCUGCCUGGUAGUGGGGGAUAACGUCCGGAAACGGGCGCUAAUACCGCAUACGUCCUGAGGGAGAAAGUGGGGGAUCUUCGGACAUCACGCUAUCAGAUGAGCCUAGGUCGGAUUAGCUAGUUGGUGGGGUAAAGGCCUACCAAGGCGACGAUCCGUAACUGGUCUGAGCGGAUGGUCAGCCCCACUAGACCGGUGACACGGCCCGGACCACUACGGUAGGCAGCAGAGGGGAAUAUUGGACUGUGCGCGGAGCGCUGAUCCAACCCAGCCGCGUGUGUUAAGAAAGUAUUCUGAUUGUAAUGCUCUUUAAGUUGGGAGGAAGGGCAGUAAGUUAAUCCCUUGCUGUUUUGACGUUACCAACAGAAUAAGCACCGGCUAACUUCGUG
Molecule: ribosomal RNA, 484 nt
Filed under: uncultured bacterium
Lineage: Bacteria
Description: partial 16S ribosomal RNA
Rfam family: Bacterial small subunit ribosomal RNA
Source: RNAcentral